UGGGGAAUUUUGGACAAUGGGCGCAAGCCUGAUCCAGCAAUGCCGCGUACAGGAUGAAGGCCUUCGGGUUGUAAACUGCUUUUGUACGGAGCGAAAAGGUCUGCCCUAAUACGGUGGGCUCAUGACGGUACCGUAAGAAUAAGCACCGGCUAACUACGUGCCAGCAGCCGCGGUAAUACGUAGGGUGCGAGCGUUAAUCGGAAUUACUGGGCGUAAAGCGUGCGCAGGCGGUUAUAUAAGACAGGUGUGAAAUCCCCGGGCUCAACCUGGGACCUGCAUUUGUGACUGUAUAGCUAGAGUACGGUAGAGGGGGAUGGAAUUCCGCGUGUAGCAGUGAAAUGCGUAGAUAUGCGGAGGAACACCGAUGGCGAAGGCAAUCCCCUGGACCUGUACUGACGCUCAUGCACGAAAGCGUGGGGAGCAAACA
This 427-nucleotide ribosomal RNA is filed under the name uncultured bacterium. RNAcentral's name for it is "bacterial SSU rRNA". It matches the Rfam family "Bacterial small subunit ribosomal RNA", at positions 355 to 774 of the family's 1533-position model. The record is from RNAcentral.